CGAAUAUGUUCUUGAAUUCAUUCGAGACGUAAGCAAAACUCAGAUUGGAGAAGAAUAUGGUCCAUGGGUUCCAUCAUGCCCCUUAUACCCUGGGCGACACACGUGCUACAAUGGACGGGACAAAGGGUCGCGAUCCCGCGAGUGUGAGCUAACUCUAAAAACCCGUCCUCAGUUCGGAUUGCAGGCUACAACUUGCCGAUUCAUGGAUCU
RNAcentral lists this non-coding RNA (210 nucleotides) under Gossypium arboreum. Its description in RNAcentral is "Bacterial small subunit ribosomal RNA". It matches the Rfam family "Bacterial small subunit ribosomal RNA", at positions 1122 to 1327 of the family's 1533-position model. The record is from Rfam by way of RNAcentral. Lineage: Eukaryota; Viridiplantae; Streptophyta; Magnoliopsida; Malvales; Malvaceae.